AAUGAACGCUGGCGGCGUGCCUAAUACAUGCAAGUCGAGCGAACAGACGAGGAGCUUGCUCCUCUGACGUUAGCGGCGGACGGGUGUGUAACACGUGGAUAACCUACCUAUAAUACUGGGAUAACUUCGGGAAACCGGAGCUAAUACCGGAUAAUAUAUUGAACCGCAUGGUUCAAUAGUGAAAGACGGUUUUGCUGUCACUUAUAGAUGGAUCCGCGCCGCAUUAGCUAGUUGGUAAGGUAACGGCUUACCAAGGCGACGAUGCGUAGCCGACCUGAGAGGGUGAUCGGCCACACUGGAACUGAGACACGGUCCAGACGCCUACGGGAGGCAGCAGUAGGGAAUCUUCCGCAAUGGGCGAAAGCCUGACGGAGCAACGCCGCGUGAGUGAUGAAGGUCUUCGGAUCGUAAAACUCUGUUAUUAGGGAAGAACAAAUGUGUAAGUAACUAUGCACGUCUUGACGGUACCUAAUCAGAAAGCCACGGCUAACUACGUG
Molecule: ribosomal RNA, 497 nt
Filed under: uncultured bacterium
Lineage: Bacteria
Description: partial 16S ribosomal RNA
Rfam family: Bacterial small subunit ribosomal RNA
Source: RNAcentral